This 434-nucleotide ribosomal RNA is filed under the name Klebsiella pneumoniae. RNAcentral describes it as "partial 23S ribosomal RNA". It matches the Rfam family "Bacterial large subunit ribosomal RNA", at positions 1 to 474 of the family's 2925-position model. The record is from RNAcentral. Lineage: Bacteria; Pseudomonadati; Pseudomonadota; Gammaproteobacteria; Enterobacterales; Enterobacteriaceae.
GGUUAAGUGACUAAGCGUACACGGUGGAUGCCCUGGCAGUCAGAGGCGAUGAAGGACGUGCUAAUCUGCGAAAAGCGUCGGUAAGGUGAUAUGAACCGUUAUAACCGGCGAUGUCCGAAUGGGGAAACCCAGUGUGAUUCGUCACACUAUCGUUAACUGAAUACAUAGGUUAACGAGGCGAACCGGGGGAACUGAAACAUCUAAGUACCCCGAGGAAAAGAAAUCAACCGAGAUUCCCCCAGUAGCGGCGAGCGAACGGGGAGCAGCCCAGAGUCUGAAUCAGCUUGUGUGUUAGUGGAACGGUCUGGAAAGUCCGACGGUACAGGGUGAUAGUCCCGUACACCAAAAUGCACAGGUUGUGAACUCGAAGAGUAGGGCGGGACACGUGGUAUCCUGUCUGAAUAUGGGGGGACCAUCCUCCAAGGCUAAAUACU